GAUGAACGCUGGCGGCGUGCCUAAUACAUGCAAGUCGAGCGAACAGACGAGGAGCUUGCUCCUCUGACGUUAGCGGCGGACGGGUGAGUAACACGUGGAUAACCUACCUAUAAGACUGGGAUAACUUCGGGAAACCGGAGCUAAUACCGGAUAAUAUAUUGAACCGCAUGGUUCAUUAGUGAAAGACGGUUUUGCUGUCACUUCUAGAUGGAUCUGCGCCGCAUGAGCUAGUUGGUAAGGUAACGGCUUACCAAGGCAACGAUGCGUAGACGACCUGAGAGGGGGAUCGGCCACCCUGGAACUGAGACACGGUCCAGACUCCUACGGGAGGCAGCAGUAGGGAAUCUUCCGCAGUGGGCGAAAGCCUGACGGAGCAACGCCGCGUGAGUGAUGAAGGUCUUCGGAUCGUAAAACUCUGUUAUUAGGGAAGAACAAAUGUGUAAGUAACUAUGCACGUCUUGACGGUACCUAAUCAGAAAGCCACGGCUAACUACGUG
RNAcentral lists this ribosomal RNA (497 nucleotides) under uncultured bacterium. RNAcentral's name for it is "partial 16S ribosomal RNA". It matches the Rfam family "Bacterial small subunit ribosomal RNA", at positions 28 to 507 of the family's 1533-position model. The record is from RNAcentral.